AGAGUUUGAUCCUGGCUCAGGACGAACGCUGGCGGCACGCUUAACACAUGCAAGUCGAACGAGAGAAGAGGAGCUUGCUUUUCUGAUCUAGUGGCGGACGGGUGAGUAACACGUGAGCAAUCUGCCUUUCAGAGGGGGAUACCGAUUGGAAACGAUCGUUAAUACCGCAUAACAUAAUUGAACCGCAUGAUUUGAUUAUCAAAGAUUUAUCGCUGAAAGAUGAGCUCGCGUCUGAUUAGCUAGUUGGUAAGGUAACGGCUUACCAAGGCGACGAUCAGUAGCCGGACUGAGAGGUUGAUCGGCCACAUUGGGACUGAGACACGGCCCAGACUCCUACGGGAGGCAGCAGUGGGGAAUAUUGCACAAUGGAGGAAACUCUGAUGCAGCGAUGCCGCGUGAGGGAAGAAGGUUUUAGGAUUGUAAACCUCUGUCUUCAGGGACGAAAAAAGACGGUACCUGAGGAGGAAGCUCCGGCUAACUACGUGCCAGCAGCCGCGGUAAUACGUAGGGAGCGAGCGUUGUCCGGAAUUACUGGGUGUAAAGGGAGCGUAGGCGGGAUCGCAAGUCAGAUGUGAAAACUAUGGGCUUAACCCAUAAACUGCAUUUGAAACUGUGGUUCUUGUGUGAAGUAGAGGUAAGCGGAAUUCCUAGUGUAGCGGUGAAAUGCGUAGAUAUUAGGAGGAACAUCAGUGGCGAAGGCGGCUUACUGGGCUUUAACUGACGCUGAGGCUCGAAAGCGUGGGGAGCAAACAGGAUUAGAUACCCUGGUAGUCCACGCCGUAAACGAUGAUUACUAGGUGUGGGGGGACUGACCCCUUCCGUGCCGCAGCAAACGCAAUAAGUAAUCCACCUGGGGAGUACGACCGCAAGGUUGAAACUCAAAGGAAUUGACGGGGGCCCACACAAGCAGUGGAGUAUGUGGAUUAAUUCGAAGCAACGCGAAGAACCUUACCAGGUCUUGACAUCGUAUGCAUAGCUCAGAGAUGAGUGAAAUCUCUUCGGAGACAUAUAGACAGGUGGUGCAUGGUUGUCGUCAGCUCGUGUCGUGAGAUGUUGGGUUAAGUCCCGCAACGAGCGCAACCCUUACUGUUAGUUGCUACGCAAGAGCACUCUAGCAGGACUGCCGUUGACAAAACGGAGGAAGGUGGGGAUGACGUCAAAUCAUCAUGCCCCUUAUGACCUGGGCCUCACACGUACUACAAUGGCUGUCAACAGAGGGAAGCAAAGCCGCGAGGUGGAGCGAACCCCUAAAAGCAGUCUUAGUUCGGAUUGUAGGCUGCAACCCGCCUACAUGAAGUCGGAAUUGCUAGUAAUCGCAGAUCAGCAUGCUGCGGUGAAUACGUUCCCGGGCCUUGUACACACCGCCCGUCAC
Molecule: ribosomal RNA, 1372 nt
Filed under: metagenome
Description: bacterial SSU rRNA
Rfam family: Bacterial small subunit ribosomal RNA
Source: RNAcentral